GACGAACGCUGGCGGCGUGCUUAACACAUGCAAGUCGAACGCUGAAGCUCAGCUUUUGUUGGGUGGAUGAGUGGCGAACGGGUGAGUAACACGUGAGUAACCUGCCCCCUUCUUUGGGAUAACGCCCGGAAACGGGUGCUAAUACUGGAUAUUCACUGGUCUUCGCAUGGGGGUUGGUGGAAAGGGUUUUUCUGGUGGGGGAUGGGCUCGCGGCCUAUCAGCUUGUUGGUGGGGUGAUGGCCUACCAAGGCUUUGACGGGUAGCCGGCCUGAGAGGGUGACCGGUCACAUUGGGACUGAGAUACGGCCCAGACUCCUACGGGAGGCAGCAGUGGGGAAUAUUGCACAAUGGGCGCAAGCCUGAUGCAGCGACGCCGCGGGAGGGAUGGAGGCCGUCGGGUUGUGAACCUCUUUCGCUCAUGGUCAAGCCGCAACAAUGGUUGUGGUGAGGGUAGUGGGUAAAGAAGCGCCGGCUAACUACGUG
This 483-nucleotide ribosomal RNA is filed under the name uncultured bacterium. RNAcentral's name for it is "partial 16S ribosomal RNA". It matches the Rfam family "Bacterial small subunit ribosomal RNA", at positions 28 to 507 of the family's 1533-position model. The record is from RNAcentral.